GACGAACGCUGGCGGCGUGCUUAACACAUGCAAGUCGAACGGAAAGGCCUGCUUUCCCUUGUGGAUUGCGGGUACUCGAGUGGCGAACGGGUGAGUAACACGUGAGUGAUCUGCCCCCAACUUGGGUAUAAGCCUGGGAAACUGGGUCUAAUUCCCGAUAGGACUGCAGGGUGGUGCCUGUGGUGGAAAACGAUUUUCUAGUGGUUGGGGAUGAGCUCGCGGCCUAUCAGCUUGUUGGUGGGGUAAUGGCCUACCAAGGCGGCGACGGGUAGCCGGCCUGGGAGAGUGGACGGCCACAUUGGGACUGCGAUACGGCCCAGACUCCUACGGGAGGCAGCAGUGGGGAAUAUUGCACAAUGGGCGGAAGCCUGAUGCAGCGACGCCGCGUGGGGGAUGACGGCCUUCGGGUUGUAAACUCCUUUCGACCGCGAGGAAGCCACCUGGUUGGAAGGGUGGUGACGGUAGUGGUAGAAGAAGCACCGGCUAACUACGUG
This 494-nucleotide ribosomal RNA is filed under the name uncultured bacterium. Its description in RNAcentral is "partial 16S ribosomal RNA". It matches the Rfam family "Bacterial small subunit ribosomal RNA", at positions 28 to 507 of the family's 1533-position model. The record is from RNAcentral.